GCCGCCUACCUGCUGAGGCGGCCGCGGGAAGGCGCCUGCUUCCAGUCCCGAUUCGCGCUUUCGCACAGGAACUCGGCUCGGUGCCGAAUAGCACCCCGCGACGCUUCCGGUCGACGUCGACGUUACCGCCGGGUCGUCGUCGUCGUCGCUGCCGCCACUGGUGCAGUUGAUGGUCGGCUGCUGAAUAAAGAUGCAGUUUGAAAGAGGAGAAGAUGCUGGCCAGCCCCAAAGGGUCUUCACGUGGCAGGGAGCCAGCGGCGCUUCAAAACUACCCUCCUGUCUACUGACCUGGGUGAACUGAUCCGAUUGCACGACGAUCGACGCGUGCACGUAACCGCUCUGUCUUCACGUCGCCGUGCGGCGAGUCUGGGGCCUUACCGCCCUACCAAACCACGUUAACGGCAUUAACUUCGUUAAGGUUGGCAGAAAAUUUCCGCAAAAAUAACGUUUAAAUAAAGCACUUUGCAGUAUCGCCUGUAGUGAAAUUCAAUAAAUGGGUUGCGACUGCCCUUCUUAAUCUGACAAGGAUGCGGUUUCCUCCAAUACGACGUCCUAAAGCCAUUAGUCAUCGAAACUGGUUGCUUAUAAGC
This is a long non-coding RNA of Schistocerca serialis cubense, 590 nucleotides long. RefSeq lists it as uncharacterized. The transcript is spliced from 3 exons. The record is from RefSeq and is a predicted model, not a curated record. NCBI's taxonomy places the organism in Eukaryota, Metazoa, Arthropoda, Insecta, Orthoptera, Acrididae.